This 113-nucleotide non-coding RNA is filed under the name Nitratireductor aquibiodomus. RNAcentral's name for it is "TPP sequence". It matches the Rfam family "TPP riboswitch aptamer (THI element)". Rfam says of the family: Vitamin B(1) in its active form thiamin pyrophosphate (TPP) is an essential coenzyme that is synthesised by coupling of pyrimidine and thiazole moieties in bacteria. The previously detected thiamin-regulatory element, thi box was extended, resulting in a new, highly conserved RNA secondary structure, the THI element, which is widely distributed in eubacteria and also occurs in some archaea. The record is from RNAcentral. Lineage: Bacteria; Pseudomonadati; Pseudomonadota; Alphaproteobacteria; Hyphomicrobiales; Phyllobacteriaceae.
GGGCAUCCACAGGGGUGCCGCGUAUCGCCGCGGCUGAGAUGAGGGUGCAAAUCCUCGGGCCCUAGAAGCUGAUCUGGGUAAUGCCAGCGGAGCAAGGAGGACAAUCAUGUUCG